CAAAACCACAGUCUCAGACAGUCAACCACCACUGGCCUGGUUUCAUUUCCCCAGACAUGGAAAGACAUUGAGCAAGUUGGUUUCGACGUCUAACCACAACUGAAGUCACAUGCACUAUUAUCAGUUUCUAUCUGGUUUAUAUUGUCCGUUCAUCCAUUGACGACAGACUAUCAGAUUUUAAUUUGAUUGUGUUACUAGUUUCUGCUUAGUUGCAGAUCAAUGCUGCUGCUGCAGGGGUCCUGUGAUAAAUACCUGGACAACACGGAUGUUGAUCAAUGCUGCUGCUGCAGGGGUCCUGUGAUAAAUACCUGGACAACACGGAUGUUGAUCAAUACUGCUGCUGCAGGGGUCCUGUGAUAAAUACCUGGACAACACUGAUGUUGAUCAAUGCUGCUGCUGCAGGGGUCCUGUGAUAAAUACAUGGACAACACGGAUGUUGUUGAAGAAAAAGUGAACUUUGGAAAUUAAGCUGCACCUCCUGAAUGAAGAGAGUUAUUUGAUGAAGGGGUCAGUGCUCUAAAAUGAGUCUCUCUGGGGAACAUGACACCAAAACUAAGAGUCCAAUCAAGCAGGAGAGACCAGCCUCCCCUGUUCCCAGCUGUGUGUCCAUGAAGAGUGACCGGUCUAUGGAACCUCCUCUAACCUUUAGAGAGGGAGACUUUUCUACUGAACAAAGGUAAGAAGAACUCAUGGGUCCUGGUCAGUGAGUUAAACAACACUGUCUCUAGUCAUUUCUCCUCUCACAUUUUCCCAUUUAUUGUUGUUGUUUUCAUAAUCCAUAGGCUCAUCAUUUUGUCCAUUUGCAUAGUCCUAAAACAAUAUUAAACAAACACAACAUUCCCUCCCUGUGUGUGUGUGUGUGUGUGUGUGUGUGUGUGUGUGUGUGUGUGUGUACGUACUCCCUGGAUGAGGAGAAGUAAUCUCUAUCCUGAUUGCCUCAUCACUUUUACCUCUACCUACAUGUACAUAUUAUCUCAAUUAUAGUCUCAUUAUUACCUCAACUACCUGGUACCCUGCACAUUGACUCAGG
Long non-coding RNA from Oncorhynchus tshawytscha (Chinook salmon), 1030 nucleotides. NCBI's taxonomy places the organism in Eukaryota, Metazoa, Chordata, Actinopteri, Salmoniformes, Salmonidae. The record is from Ensembl.